Molecule: ribosomal RNA, 376 nt
Filed under: uncultured bacterium
Lineage: Bacteria
Description: bacterial SSU rRNA
Rfam family: Bacterial small subunit ribosomal RNA
Source: RNAcentral
GUAGUCCACGCCCUAAACGAUGUCAACUAGUUGUCGGGUCUUUAUUGACUUGGUAACGCAGCUAACGCGUGAAGUUGACCGCCUGGGGAGUACGGUCGCAAGAUUAAAACUCAAAGGAAUUGACGGGGACCCGCACAAGCGGUGGAUGAUGUGGAUUAAUUCGAUGCAACGCGAAAAACCUUACCUACCCUUGACAUGGCAGGAAUCCUUGAGAGAUCAGGGAGUGCUCGAAAGAGAACCUGCACACAGGUGCUGCAUGGCUGUCGUCAGCUCGUGUCGUGAGAUGUUGGGUUAAGUCCCGCAACGAGCGCAACCCUUGUCAUUAGUUGCUACAUUCAGAUGAGCACUCUAAUGAGACUGCCGGUGACAAACCGGA